CACGAAAUUAUACGAGCUAAUUUUGGUAAACAAUUAUGUGGCAUAAUAUUUAAUUAACCAAAAUUAGGGGUGACAGGCUUCCCAAGUAUAACGAUAUCUUGAUUCCUUUGAAAUGUACAAGUACAACUAUAAAUUUAGAGCUAUAAGGUUUUAAAUUCGGAUUAACUUAAGAUGAGAUUUUAAAUAUAGUUAUAAUAGACUGUACAUACAACAAAUUACUAUUACUGGCUUGCGCUUAUUUUGUUUAAGAGGAUGUGUUAUAAUAAUUAUAAACAUCAAUAUUGUUAGCAUGAGUACUAAGAAGUUAUUAAUAGUGAACUCGGCAACAAAGUUUUCAACUGUUUACCAAAAACAUAGCCACAUGUAUUUACAUGUGGUAUUUUCUGCUCAAUGAAGUAUUAAAUAGCCGCAGUACCCUGACUGUGCAAAGGUAGCAUAAUCAUUUGGCUUAUAAUUAAAGUCGUGCAUGAAGGAAUAUAUGGGGACUUUCUUUACCAUUAAUAAAAGUAGAAUUUACUUAGCGAGUGCAAAUGCUCGCCGAUUAAUAAUAGACGAGAAGACCCUAGAAAUUUAUCAGUAAUUUUGUUGGGGCAACAUAGUAACAAAUAACUUACUUUAUGUAUAUGAAAUAAUUUAGAAAACUUAAAUUACUCUAGGGAUAACAGCAUAAUCUAUUAAUGUUUGUGACCUCGAUGUUGGAUUAGGGUGUUGAAGUUUAAAA
RNAcentral lists this ribosomal RNA (721 nucleotides) under Kymatobaudinia carrboydensis. RNAcentral describes it as "partial 16S ribosomal RNA". Lineage: Eukaryota; Metazoa; Mollusca; Gastropoda; Stylommatophora; Camaenidae. The record is from RNAcentral.